Molecule: transfer RNA, 69 nt
Filed under: Rattus norvegicus (Norway rat)
Lineage: Eukaryota; Metazoa; Chordata; Mammalia; Rodentia; Muridae
Rfam family: tRNA
About the family: Transfer RNA (tRNA) molecules are approximately 80 nucleotides in length. Their secondary structure includes four short double-helical elements and three loops (D, anti-codon, and T loops).
Source: Rfam by way of RNAcentral
GGGGAUUUAGCUCAGUGGUAGAGUGCUUGCCUAGCAAGCACAAGGCCCUGGGUUCAGUUCCCAGCUCCU